GCCUGUUUUUCAAAAACAUGGCUCCGUGUCAGGUAGAAAAUACGGAGUCGGACCUGCCCGGUGAUUAGUUUUUAACGGCCGCGGUACUCUGACCGUGCAAAGGUAGCAUAAUAACUUGCCUUAUAAUUGAAGGCUGGAAUGAAUGGUUUGACAAGAAUAAAGCUGUCUCUUUGUAGUUAACUAGAACUUUAUUUAUAGGUGAAAAAGCCUAUAUGGUAUUGAUAGACAAGAAGACCCUAUCGAGCUUUAAAAAAUUGUUAUGGAUAAUUGCAGGUAUUUUGGUUGGGGCGACAGAGGAACAGAUAAGCUUCCUUGGAAAAUGAUACAGGCGUGGUGAUCCAGAACUUCUGAUUAACGGAAUUAGUUACCGUAGGGAUAACAGCAUGAUCCCCUUUGAGAGCCCACAUCGAAAAGGGGGUUUGUGACCUCGAUGUUGGACCAGGGUAUCCUGAAGAUGCAGCAGUCUUCAAGGGUUGGUCUGUUCGACCAUUAAAACCCUACGUGAUCUGAGUUCAGACCGG
This 521-nucleotide ribosomal RNA is filed under the name Coralliophila meyendorffii. RNAcentral's name for it is "partial 16S ribosomal RNA". It matches the Rfam family "Bacterial large subunit ribosomal RNA", at positions 1798 to 2619 of the family's 2925-position model. Lineage: Eukaryota; Metazoa; Mollusca; Gastropoda; Neogastropoda; Muricidae. The record is from RNAcentral.